AAAAGUGUUGUUCACGGUUAAUCUGAAGUGUUGAGAUUCACAACUUAUUGAAAGAACAACUGAAAAUCAAUUUAGGUUGCAUAUGUGUCAUGUGUAGAGAAGAACCCUCUAGCUAAUCCAUCACCUAUCAUUUCACCUUAAUUUCAUGUUUUUGUCAAUUCUGUAAUUUAUUUAAGUUUAAUUUACUUCUCGUCAAAACCAAACCCCCCAUUAUUAAAUUAUUUUAUUUAGUUAGUUUUCAUUGUUGUUAGUCUUUUAAUUCAAUUUCCGUCCAUUGCAGUUCCUAGUGUCUAAUUUGAUUGUUUUCAUUAUUUUGAGUCAUCCUAAGUGUGUUUCGAGUUAUUAGAGUUUUUAGCCUAGUUUUGUGUCCUUGAGUCUUAUUUAAUAUUUUUAAAUUAAUUUAGAAUAGAUUAGCAAUCCCUCCUAAUCCCCGGCCUAGAACGAUACCCUACUUACAUCCAUACUACAAUUGUCAAAAAGAGGGUUUAAUUUGUGUGUCAAGAAAUUCUCACAUCAAAUUUUGGCGCCGUUGCCGGGGAUUAGCAACUUUGCUAAUCCUUUUAUUUUUGUUUUUGUUUAUGUUUAUAUUGGUGUUUGUGUAUUUUACUUUUGAUAUUUGAUUUAUUUUUCUUUCUUUGAUUUUAGGUUCAAAUGGAGCCGAGGGAAAUUUAAAGGAAAGAUGCGUCCGGCUAAAGACGUUAAAUCAAGCGCUUCUUGGGAGGCAACCCAAGCAUUCAACGAAGGGAGACUUUGGAAUCACUAACCCAAUCAGCUUUGCAUUCUUCCACCCUUAUCUUUACUGCUUUCAUUUUGUUUUGUUUAGUUAGUUGUGUUAUUUGGUUGAUUUCUGUGAGUUUGUGUUUGUGUUAUUUAGUUUAAGUGUGGGGGAAGGUUAACCAAAGUCUCUUUACAUUAAUUUACAUUUAAAAAGAAAAAAAAAGAUAAAAUUUAAAAUUAAUGAUAAAAAAAAAAAUACAUAAAAAAAAAAAUACAUAAAAAAAAAUAAAAAUUUAAAAAAAAAAAUUUAAAAAUUAAAAAAAAUAAAAUAAAAUAAAAUAAAAUAAAAAAAUACAAAUAUUUUACAAUGAUGUAAACUAAUAGUAUUCAUUGGUCGGGUGGUGCUUCAGUAGUAGGCGGGGCUUCAGCAGUCGGCGGGGCCACAGAAGGAGGAGGCAGCAGAGGUUGAUCAGUUGGAGCUUCACUACGCGGUGCCGCUCCAGAAGACGAAGGCAGAUGCGGUUGGAACAAACCCACAAACCUCCGAUGAUCAAGUAAAAUUUGACCAUCGGUGUCCUGCAUCUGGUCAAUCUUUCUCUUCAUGCUGGUGGCAUAAUUGUGUGCAAGCUUGUGCAAUUGUUUAUUUUCAUGCUUGAGUCCUCUAAUCUCCUCUUUGAGACUCUGUAUUUCAGCCACCAACGAUUCAACGUGACGGGUUCGAGCAAAUAGGCGUUGGGCCAUGUUGGACACGGAACCGGCACACUGCACGCUAAGAGCCAGAGACUCCUUAACCACCAAUUCAUCAGACCGUCUAGCGAGCAGUCUGUUAUCUCUUGGGGUGACAAGGUUCCGGGCCACCACCGCAGCAGUCAUGUCAUUUUUCAUAACCGAAUCCCCCACGGUAAGAGGACCGGUAGGGGAUAUGAAGGAUGGGCGCCAUAUAUUGUCUGGUGAAGGCGGAGCUGCCUCUUCACCAAUGUUCAAGUCAAAACGACGAUCGGAAGGGCCAGACAUUUUUCAGAGGUGGUGAAGAAAGAAGAGAGUCGGAAUGAUCAAGAUUAAACAAGUGCAAGAAGGGAGUGUUUACAGGAGGGUGCUCAAGUGUGUUGUGGAACAAGCUUAACGCCUCUAUAAAAAGAAGAAAUCGGAGAGGCGCUCCUCAGAGAAGCGUCCUCUCGCAAAUCGAAGAGUCGGGGCUCCUUUCUCAAAAGCCGGAUUCUUUUCUCAAAAGAGGCGUUUCAUUUCUUAAAGGCUGGGCUUGCUCAGAAACCACGAGCCGAACCCCGGAUUUCAAAAGAUUAAUUUGUCCAGACGUGUCGUCACUUGUCACACGUAAAUUGCUUUGCGAAAUUCUCGGGCAGUUUGUCGAAGCACCAAUUCAGAAAUCGAAGAGGGAAAUUCAACAGUCAAAGACACGCUAGCUUUCUCAAAAGCUGGGCUUCAACCCACGGGCAAAUCUUCUUUUCCAGAUUUAUCCGCACGUGUCACAUGCUACCUCUACAAUCGACGUUGCUCAGAGCUCGAAGCGCCGAUUCCAGAUAUCAAUGAGGAAUCUGCUUUGCGGAAAUUACGGGCAGCUUUGUCAGAAAAGCGCGUAAUUUGUACUAUUCAUCCAUCCACCGGCUGCCGACAAUGAGUGAGAGAAUAGUUUCGGUUGUGAAGAAAAGUUCCAUAAGUAUCUACCUUCGCCUUCCACAGCAAAGACACAACCUCUCAGCACUUCUUCAUCUCCGAAAAUGCAUUCCCAAAGAAUCCUCCUAAGUUACUCUGUGUUCCUCAUUCCUUGGGAUACUCCUGCGAACAACCCAUUCAAAGCAAAAGUAUUUCAUAUCAUGAAGGUUGAAAGCAAGAGUAUCUCAUAUCAUGCUUUCUCCCUGUCCUUUCUCCAGCCAGCACCUGCUCUCGAGUACUCAUCAUCUUAUGUUUCCGCUUCGUCUCUCACGUAUAAGGGAAGUGAAGAUGAUUCCUCGAAGCAUGUGGAGACAACGUGCUGAUUCAUCCUCAACUAGGGACAAGGAGAAAGAGAGCAAGAGGUGGGCACUUGGAAAGAUUGAAGAAAGAAACAGACCAACACCUCUCCCUCGUGCCUGCCCGCCGUGCUGAAGAAACAAGCAGAGAAGAAUGCAGCUCGUACAAUCAACCCAGCACAAGGAGUCCGAACUGAAGAACUAGAGAAGCUGCCACAUUUGCUUGGAGAACAAAUUAGGAACUGCAACAUAACCAAAGAGCAAAGCUUCGCCGUACAAUAUCAUAAAAUCAUCACUUGCAAGUGAAAAGCUAAGUGUCACCCUGUUCAAGAGGAAAGCUGUGGAAAGUCAACAAGCACGACCAAUGAUUACUUAUUAGUUUUAUUCAUUAUCUUUUAUCGUAAUUUUCAAUUUUUCGUUUGCAAUUUUUUUUUAAUUAAUUUUCUUGCGUACUUAACUGAAUUAUUUCUUUUCUUUGCAGGAACUUUUGGUUAUUUCCACCCUUGAAGUUGAUUGCAGAAUUUUAGCUUGGGGGUCAUCGCUUGAUUUUACUGCAAAUUAGGGAAGUUUUCAGUCCAAUUGCGUUAUUUUGUUUCUUAUUAUUUAUUUAUUUUAUUUUAUUUUUUUUUAUUUGCAUUAUAGUGUUUUCUGACAUUGGGGACAAUGUCAAGUUUAAGUGUGGGGGUAGAAAUCUCCAGAAUUUCAUUUGUCUCUGUGUUGUUGUUUUUUUGUGUUCUUAAUUAGUUUUGUUUUCUUUUAAAAAAAAAUUUAAAUUAAAAAAAAAUCGGAAAAUUUAAAAAUCCAAAAAUAUUGUCUUGUUUCCCUUAUUGUUUUGAAUUAGAUUUUUGUUAGUUUCCCGACCCAAUGAUAUAAUUGGAUCAAAUUUGAACCAUGAUCAUCAAGAACUUAGUUAACAUGUGUUUGGUGAAAUUCCUAAUUCUCUUGUUAGUUUUGUACAUGUUUGAUCAUCUUUGAAAAACCAAAUGCACAUAGCCUUGUUAAUGUGAAACUAAAGUAUGACUUAAAGCUUCAUAUGUGAAUUUAGUGACCAUAUACAUCCUAUGUGAGUUUUUGAGCCUAUUGAAAGUGUGUGCAUUUUUCAUAUACUCCUAUUCUUUCAUGUGUGAUGAACUUAUGUGAGAUACAUCUCUAGAACUUGCGUAACGAUCUUUCAAAAUGUUUGUCAUUGAUUGCAUAAACUUGGAAAUGAUAGAGGCAUUAGGUUUACCACCAUGGCCCAAAUAACCAUGUUUCCCAAAGAAAAAUGAUAUCAUUAGAUUGCCAAUUUGAGCCGUGUAUGUUGAGUCUUUUAUUUCUUAUCACCAGAUAUGUCUACCCUUAUACCUGAAACAUUUUUCCUUACCCUUUCCAAGCGAGCAAUGCGAGAUUGUCUUAUGAGAAAUGUUUGUGAAGUACUUUGAAGGUGUUUGGCAAAAGAAUAAGUGUGGGGGUAUUUCAUGUUUGUAUUAAAAAAAAAAAAAAAAAAAAAAAAAAAAAAAAAAAAAAAAAAAGAAAGAUUGUAUACGAAGAAAAUAAAAAGUUUUUAAAGUUUCAGUUUAAGGGUGUGAUUGGAGGUAUUAGAAGAAUUGUUGGAGAGCUUGAGUUCUUAUAAAUCUAAAGAAAAGAAUUGCUUACAAUGUAGCUUGGAACUUGUGUUUACCUAUUCUUUCAUUUCAAUAACCCUCUUCCUAAACCUCAUUACAUCCAAUAAAAGUCCUCUUGAUUUAAGUUUUGCAAUUAUGAUUGUGGAGAUGAGAUCUUUAUGCAAGCUUAUGGUAGAAAUUUCACAUUUGAUUCUUUGAGCGAAACACAUUAAAACUAAACACAUAUGUGAUUGAGUGUAUAUCCCGUGAGAAUGUUACUAGUUUGCAUAUGAUGAUUUUUAAAAAUAAAAACUUGAAAUUGCAUUAGCAUGGCUAUCUCACACACUACACUUCAAGGAUGAUUCAAAGAUUACUGCUAAUAUUUGAAUAAGGAGGAUGAACUUGGAUUAACUUGUUUGGUGCUAGCUAUGUUUCUUGAUGAUUUGUUUUCUUGAAUGAAAUUCUAUGAGGGUCACAUAGAGGGAAGCUAAUGUUUUUCAUGUUAUUACUUUUUCAUGUUUUCUUUGUUUUGCUCGAGGACUAGCAAAAGUUAAGUGUGGGGGUAUUUGAUCGGAUCAUAUUUAUAUAUAUUUUUACUUCGAAUUCACUCGUCUUUUCUUAGUUAGUUCCUUAUAUUUUUGAGCUAUUUACGUUAUUUUUGUGUUUAUAGGAUUUGUUAUGCAAAGAAAAUAAAAAUAGAACAAAUGAAAUUUUAUGUAAUAAAUUCGUCAAAACUGUCUGUGUAGAUCAGCUUUUAAAUUAAAUUAAAAAAAAAUAUAUAAUAAUGAUAAAUCAUGAUGAUGUUUGAAACAUCAUCAUGAUGGUUUUGUUUUGUAGAAGAAAAGAAAGGAACGGAUGGAGAAGAAGAAAAGAAAGGAAUAAAAAAAGAAAAGAAGGAAUAAAAAAAAUUAAAAGAAGAAUAAGUGAGUCCACACAUGAGGGAUCCAAAGAAAGAUAUACGAAAGAAGAAGAAAAAGGAGAAUCCAAGGCGUGAAAGGGAUAGAGGCGGGAGACAGAGAAGACUUGAAAAAGUGGGAAAUAAAAUAAUAAGAUAGAGAGGAGAAAGCAGCUGGCAGAGACGAAAUUGGGGGGGGGGGGGAGAGAUGGAGCUGCCUUUGGCAGCACGGGGUCAGAGAGGAUAGAGAUACGUGAGGGAAGCAAAUAAGAAAGAAGAAAGAAAAAAAGGUGAGGGACUGACAGAAAAGCAGAGGGCUGCCCUUUGGGCAGCGUGAGGCUGCGCAGAAAUAAAAGGGACAGUGCGGCAUGGCAGGAGAGAAGUGACGCAGGGAGUGAGGGCAGAAGCACAGAAACGCAGCAGAUCUUAUUCUCUCGGUUAAAUCUUUCCAACUUAUGAUUAAUUUUUGGUUUAAUUUUAGAAUAAUGUGUAGCUAAAUUUAUUUUGGCUAGAGGUUAAUUCAAAGCCAUGAAUAUAUUUGUAAUAUGAAUUGAUUACCUUCAGUUGUGAUUUCUGAGUUGUGAUUUAAUUUGCUUAACUGCUUGAUUGAUAACUUAUUUUUGUAUGUCGAUUAAGGAUGCAUACUUAAUUUACAUGCAUGAAUUUGAUGCUAGAAUAUAAGUGAAUUUCACCUAAUCGUUAUGAACUUAUAUUCACAAGUAGUGAAGGUUGUUAUCCACAAUCGUGUUAAGUGAAUUCUUGGCAAGGGUAUCAUGCUUUUCAUAGUUACGAAUGCCUCGUCAAUGCUUAUAGUUUUCACAAAGUUUAAUGAUCUUUGAUUGUAUCUCUAUUGUGCUUUUCACGUAGGGGACUUUUGAAGAAUGUUUUGAAUUGUUGUAUGCGUUUUCCCGUCCAAUUCAAUAACUUAAGGAAAACUUGAAGAUUAAAAAAGUGCUGUUCACGGUUAAUCUGAAGUGUUGAGAUUCACAACUUAUUGAAAGAACAACUGAAAAUCAAUUUAGGUUGCAUAUGUGUCAUGUGUAGAGAAGAACCCUCUAGCUAAUCCAUCACCUAUCAUUUCACCUUAAUUUCAUGUUUUUGUCAAUUCUGUAAUUUAUUUAAGUUUAAUUUACUUCUCGUCAAAACCAAACCCCCCAUUAUUAAAUUAUUUUAUUUAGUUAGUUUUCAUUGUUGUUAGUCUUUUAAUUCAAUUUCCGUCCAUUGCAGUUCCUAGUGUCUAAUUUGAUUGUUUU
Molecule: long non-coding RNA, 6415 nt
Filed under: Malus domestica (apple)
Lineage: Eukaryota; Viridiplantae; Streptophyta; Magnoliopsida; Rosales; Rosaceae
Description: long non-coding RNA (MDOM_LNC017787)
Source: RNAcentral